GGCUUCAACAGGAGAUGAUCAGCACUCACUAUUGUCCAUAUUGCACAAUCGAUAAAGACAGAGGCUGCUUUUCGAGGACAACCAGUAAGGACAGAGGAGGAGGAUGCCUGGGAGAGACAGUUUGACUUCAAAGAACUUAAAGAAGAUGACUUUGAGGGGCUUUUCAUUCCUAUCAACUUCGUGGAUACCUUCCUUGCUGCUGAAGACUCAACUUCAAUGAUCGUGGGUGUAUUUGUCGGUUUUGAGAAGAACCAGGUUACGCACAUCCUACUCCCUCCGCAGUGGAGCACAGACAGAGAACUGCACAUUUCCGACAUUCCCAUGGACAAUAUCCACAUGAGAGGGAUGUCGCUUAUGGGCUUUGUGCGGACAUGAUCAUUUCUUGACAUUGUGUUGACUCCUACACCUGACGAUGGAACUGCACAUUUCCGACAUUCCCAUGGAAAAUAUCCACAUGAGAGGGAUGUCGCUUAUGGGCUUUGUGCGGACAUGAUCAUUUCUUGACAUUGUGUUGACUCCUACACCUGACGAUGUAAAUACUUUGGCGAAGAAAGUGUAAUGGGUAUAUGCAGCAGCGACGGUAUGAUGUUGUUUAACAUAACCAAGGAGGCCUUUGCAUGGGGGAAGAAGGAAAAUGCUAAAGCUGAUAUGGGGAGGUUUCCUCCACAGCAUAGUCUCAAGGCUAGGUGGAAGAGUGAUGCAACAACACCUGUCCGUUUCUUGGUACCUCCCGUUUGGAACUACAACCUCGAUGUGCCUAGUUAUUCUGAUCACAUGCACUACUCCCUUGAAGUUUCAACUGUUCCGUAUGUCAAGAAGAUUAAGAGGAAGCAUAAGAAGGGGGGGGAGAGGAAGUAUUGGUAUUGAGCCACUUGUCACAACCGAUUUUGUAAAUGAAAUAGCUUUAAUCUUCAAGUUCGGAUAAAAGUGUUCUUUACUUUACCCACACACUCUUAUGAUCUAAAUCUGAA
This is a long non-coding RNA of Raphanus sativus (radish), 971 nucleotides long. RefSeq lists it as uncharacterized. Lineage: Eukaryota; Viridiplantae; Streptophyta; Magnoliopsida; Brassicales; Brassicaceae. The record is from RefSeq and is a predicted model, not a curated record. The transcript has 3 exons.